AAGGAGCUUGCUCCUUUGACGUUAGCGGCGGACGGGUGAGUAACACGUGGGUAACCUACCUAUAAGACUGGGAUAACUUCGGGAAACCGGAGCUAAUACCGGAUAACAUUUGGAACCGCAUGGUUCUAAAGUGAAAGAUGGUUUUGCUAUCACUUAUAGAUGGACCCGCGCCGUAUUAGCUAGUUGGUAAGGUAACGGCUUACCAAGGCGACGAUACGUAGCCGACCUGAGAGGGUGAUCGGCCACACUGGAACUGAGACACGGUCCAGACUCCUACGGGAGGCAGCAGUAGGGAAUCUUCCGCAAUGGGCGAAAGCCUGACGGAGCAACGCCGCGUGAGUGAUGAAGGGUUUCGGCUCGUAAAACUCUGUUAUUAGGGAAGAACAAAUGUGUAAGUAACUGUGCACGUCUUGACGGUACCUAAUCAGAAAGCCACGGCUAACUACGUGCCAGCAGCCGCGGUAAUACGUAGGUGGCAAGCGUUAUCCGGAAUUAUUGGGCGUAAAGCGCGCGUAGGCGGUUUCUUAAGUCUGAUGUGAAAGCCCACGGCUCAACCGUGGAGGGUCAUUGGAAACUGGGAAACUUGAGUGCAGAAGAGGAAAGUGGAAUUCCAUGUGUAGCGGUGAAAUGCGCAGAGAUAUGGAGGAACACCAGUGGCGAAGGCGACUUUCUGGUCUGUAACUGACGCUGAUGUGCGAAAGCGUGGGGAUCAAACAGGAUUAGAUACCCUGGUAGUCCACGCCGUAAACGAUGAGUGCUAAGUGUUAGGGGGUUUCCGCCCCUUAGUGCUGCAGCUAACGCAUUAAGCACUCCGCCUGGGGAGUACGACCGCAAGGUUGAAACUCAAAGGAAUUGACGGGGACCCGCACAAGCGGUGGAGCAUGUGGUUUAAUUCGAAGCAACGCGAAGAACCUUACCAAAUCUUGACAUCCUUUGAAAACUCUAGAGAUAGAGCUUUCCCCUUCGGGGGACAAAGUGACAGGUGGUGCAUGGUUGUCGUCAGCUCGUGUCGUGAGAUGUUGGGUUAAGUCCCGCAACGAGCGCAACCCUUAAGCUUAGUUGCCAUCAUUAAGUUGGGCACUCUAGGUUGACUGCCGGUGACAAACCGGAGGAAGGUGGGGAUGACGUCAAAUCAUCAUGCCCCUUAUGAUUUGGGCUACACACGUGCUACAAUGGACAAUACAAAGGGCAGCUAAACCGCGAGGUCAUGCAAAUCCCAUAAAGUUGUUCUCAGUUCGGAUUGUAGUCUGCAACUCGACUACAUGAAGCUGGAAUCGCUAGUAAUCGUAGAUCAGCAUGCUACGGUGAAUACGUUCCCGGGUCUUGUACACACCGCCCGUCACACCACGAGAGUUUGUAACACCCGAAGCCGGUGGAGUAACCA
RNAcentral lists this ribosomal RNA (1384 nucleotides) under Staphylococcus saprophyticus. RNAcentral describes it as "bacterial SSU rRNA". It matches the Rfam family "Bacterial small subunit ribosomal RNA", at positions 73 to 1441 of the family's 1533-position model. Lineage: Bacteria; Bacillati; Bacillota; Bacilli; Caryophanales; Staphylococcaceae. The record is from RNAcentral.